GGAGGCGAGUGUGCUCUGGUGAGUGCCCCGGGCUUCAAACCCGGUGGGGGUCGGUAUGGCCGGCUUCGGUGGGUUCGAUUCCCACACGUCUCCGCCA
RNAcentral lists this transfer RNA (97 nucleotides) under Thermovirga sp. Its description in RNAcentral is "tRNA-Sec". It matches the Rfam family "Selenocysteine transfer RNA". The record is from RNAcentral. Lineage: Bacteria; Thermotogati; Synergistota; Synergistia; Synergistales; Thermovirgaceae.